RNAcentral lists this ribosomal RNA (253 nucleotides) under uncultured bacterium. RNAcentral's name for it is "partial 16S ribosomal RNA". It matches the Rfam family "Bacterial small subunit ribosomal RNA", at positions 524 to 776 of the family's 1533-position model. The record is from RNAcentral.
UACGUAGGGUGCGAGCGUUGUCCGGAAUUAUUGGGCGUAAAGAGCUUGUAGGCGGUUUGUCGCGUCUGCCGUGAAAGCCCAGGGCUUAACCCUGGGUCUGCGGUGGGUACGGGCAGACUAGAGUGUGGUAGGGGAGACUGGAAUUCCUGGUGUAGCGGUGAAAUGCGCAGAUAUCAGGAGGAACACCGGUGGCGAAGGCGGGUCUCUGGGCAACAACUGACGCUGAGGAGCGAAAGCGUGGGGAGCGAACAGG